AACGAACGCUGGCGGCAGGCCUAACACAUGCAAGUCGAACGCUCCGCAAGGGGAGUGGCGCACGGGUGAGUAACACGUGGGAACCUACCUUCUGGUACGGAACAACCAAGGGAAACUUUGGCUAAGACCGUAUACGACCUCCGGGUGAAAGAUUGAUCGCCGGAAGAGGGGCCCGCGUCCGAUUAGGUAGUUGGUGAGGUAACGGCUCACCAAGCCUUCGAUCGGUAGCUGGUCUGAGAGGAUGACCAGCCACACUGGGACUGAGACACGGCCCAGACUCCUACGGGAGGCAGCAGUGGGGAAUAUUGGACAAUAGGCGCAAGCCUGAUCCAGCCAUGCCGCGUGAGUGAUGAA
This 354-nucleotide ribosomal RNA is filed under the name uncultured bacterium. RNAcentral describes it as "bacterial SSU rRNA". It matches the Rfam family "Bacterial small subunit ribosomal RNA", at positions 29 to 412 of the family's 1533-position model. The record is from RNAcentral.